Molecule: ribosomal RNA, 441 nt
Filed under: uncultured bacterium
Lineage: Bacteria
Description: partial 16S ribosomal RNA
Rfam family: Bacterial small subunit ribosomal RNA
Source: RNAcentral
CCUACGGGAGGCAGCAGUCGGGACUAUUGCGCAAUGGAGGAAACUCUGAUGCAGUGACGCCGCGUGCAGGAAGAAGGUUUUCGGCUCGUAAACUGCUUUAGACAGGGAAGAAAAAAGCGAGUACUUGCCGAAUAACCCCCGGCUAACUACGUGCCAGCAGCCGCGGUAAUACGUAGGGAGCAAGCGUUUUCCGGUUUUCUUGGGUGUAAAGGGUGGGUAGACGGAGAAGCAAGUUAGUUGUGAAAUCCCUCGGCUUAACUGAGGAACGGCAACUAAAACUCCUUGCCUUGAGUACUGGAGAGGAAAGUGGAAUUCCUAGUGUAGCGGUGAAAUGCGUAGAUAUUAGGAGGAACACUCGUGGCGAAGGCGGGUUCCUGGACAGUAACUGACGCUGAGGCACGAAGGCCAGGGGAGCGAAAGGGAUUAGAUACCCCUGUAGUC